AACGCGAAAGUCCCGCAAGGGAUAAGUAGAGUGGCAAACGGGUGAGUAACACGUGGGUGACCUGCCUUCGAGUGUGGGAUAACGUCCCGAAAGGGACGCUAAUACCGCAUGACAUCCUGCCUUCUAACAGGUGGAGAUCAAAGCUGGGGAUCGCAAGACCUAGCGCUUGAAGAGGGGCCCGCGUCUGAUUAGCUAGUUGGUGAGGUAACGGCUCACCAAGGCGACGAUCAGUAUCCGGCCUGAGAGGGCGGACGGACACACUGGGACUGAGACACGGCCCAGACUCCUACGGGAGGCAGCAGUGGGGAAUUGUUCGCAAUGGGCGCAAGCCUGACGACGCAACGCCGCGUGGAGGAUGAAGAUCUUCGGGUCGUAAACUCCUUUCGAUCGAGACGAACGGCUCUCGUGCUAAUCAGCGAGAGAAUGACGGUACCGAGAGAAGAAGCCCCGGCUAACUCCGUGCCAGCAGCCGCGGUAAUACGGGGGGGGCAAGCGUUGUUCGGAAUUACUGGGCGUAAAGGGCUCGUAGGCGGCCAACUAAGUCAGACGUGAAAUCCCUCGGCUUAACCGGGGAACUGCGUCUGAUACUGGAUGGCUUGAGGUUGGGAGAGGGAUGCGGAAUUCCAGGUGUAGCGGUGAAAUGCGUAGAUAUCUGGAGGAACACCGGUGGCGAAGGCGGCAUCCUGGACCAAUUCUGACGCUGAGGAGCGAAAGCCAGGGGAGCAA
Molecule: ribosomal RNA, 726 nt
Filed under: uncultured Acidobacteriota bacterium
Lineage: Bacteria; Pseudomonadati; Acidobacteriota
Description: bacterial SSU rRNA
Rfam family: Bacterial small subunit ribosomal RNA
Source: RNAcentral